UGUAGCAAGGUUAACCGUAUAGGGGAGCCGCAGGGAAACCGAGUCUUAACUGGGCGUUAAGUUGCAGGGUAUAGACCCGAAACCCGGUGAUCUAGCCAUGGGCAGGUUGAAGGUUGGGUAACACUAACUGGAGGACCGAACCGACUAAUGUUGAAAAAUUAGCGGAUGACUUGUGGCUGGGGGUGAAAGGCCAAUCAAACCGGGAGAUAGCUGGUUCUCCCCGAAAGCUAUUUAGGUAGCGCCUCGUGAACUCAUCUUCGGGGGUAGAGCACUGUUUCGGCUAGGGGGUCAUCCCGACUUACCAACCCGAUGCAAACUACGAAUACCGAAGAAUGUUAUCACGGGAGACACACGGCGGGUGCUAACGUCCGUCGUGAAGAGGGAAACAACCCAGACCCGCCAGCUAAGGUCCCAAAGUCAUGGUUAAGUGGGAAACGAUGUGGGAAGGCACAGACAGCCAGGAUGUUGGCUUAGAAGCAGCCAUCAUUUAAAGAAAGCGUAAUAGCUCACUGGUCGAGUCGGCCUGCGCGGAAGAUGUAACGGGGCUAAACCAUGCACCGAAGCUGCGGCAGCGACACUAUGUGUUGUUGGGUAGGGGAGCGUUCUGUAAGCCUGCGAAGGUGUGCUGUGAGGCAUGCUGGAGGUAUCAGAAGUGCGAAUGCUGACAUAAGUAACGAUAAAGCGGGUGAAAAGCCCGCUCGCCGGAAGACCAAGGGUUCCUGUCCAACGUUAAUCGGGGCAGGGUGAGUCGACCCCUAAGGCGAGGCCGAAAGGCGUAGUCGAUGGGAAACAGGUUAAUAUUCCUGUACUUGGUGUUACUGCGAAGGGGGGACGGAGAAGGCUAUGUUAGCCGGGCGACGGUUGUCCCGGUUUAAGCAUGUAGGCUGGUUGUCCAGGCAAAUCCGGAUAAUCAAGGCUGAGGUGUGAUGACGAGGUACUACGGUGCUGAAGUAACAAAUGCCCUGCUUCCAGGAAAAGCCUCUAAGCAUCAGGUAACAUCAAAUCGUACCCCAAACCGACACAGGUGGUCAGGUAGAGAAUACCAAGGCGCUUGAGAGAACUCGGGUGAAGGAACUAGGCAAAAUGGUGCCGUAACUUCGGGAGAAGGCACGCUGGUGUGUAGGUGAAGUCCCUGCGGAUGGAGCUGAGACCAGUCGAAGAUACCAGCUGGCUGCAACUGUUUAUUAAAAACACAGCACUGUGCAAACACGAAAGUGGACGUAUACGGUGUGACGCCUGCCCGGUGCCGGAAGGUUAAUUGAUGGGGUUAUCCGUAAGGAGAAGCUCUUGAUCGAAGCCCCGGUAAACGGCGGCCGUAACUAUAACGGUCCUAAGGUAGCGAAAUUCCUUGUCGGGUAAGUUCCGACCUGCACGAA
RNAcentral lists this ribosomal RNA (1376 nucleotides) under Klebsiella pneumoniae. RNAcentral's name for it is "bacterial LSU rRNA". It matches the Rfam family "Bacterial large subunit ribosomal RNA", at positions 636 to 1996 of the family's 2925-position model. Lineage: Bacteria; Pseudomonadati; Pseudomonadota; Gammaproteobacteria; Enterobacterales; Enterobacteriaceae. The record is from RNAcentral.